This 343-nucleotide long non-coding RNA is filed under the name Setaria viridis. RNAcentral describes it as "long non-coding RNA (SVIR_LNC001042)". The record is from RNAcentral. Lineage: Eukaryota; Viridiplantae; Streptophyta; Magnoliopsida; Poales; Poaceae.
AAGAGCUAAGCUUAAGCGAGAGCUAAACUUGAUCUAAACAAAACCCAACUGUUCUUGGUGGUGGCUAAGGGGUAUAUGAAGGUGGGAGGAUGAUCACUAGGGUGUUGGGGUUGUGCUACAACCCUAGAACGCGUCCCUAUUGGACCCGACUUGAUACACGGCCCAUUGGGCCAAAUUAAAGUGACGUAGCACCAGAAAACCUCUCGGUAGUAAAUCGGUCAUUGCGACCGCCUCAGAUCAGAUAUGGACUUGAGUGUAGAUCCAUAUGAAAAUAGACUUCAUAACGAAUUCGUGAAGUACUUGAACUCCCCAAUCCGAGUCCGUAUGCGACCGUGGUGACCAU